Molecule: small nucleolar RNA, 121 nt
Filed under: Echinops telfairi (small Madagascar hedgehog)
Lineage: Eukaryota; Metazoa; Chordata; Mammalia; Afrosoricida; Tenrecidae
Description: Small nucleolar RNA SNORA61 (ENSETEG00000026424.1)
Source: RNAcentral
ACCCGCCAGAUUCCUUUCCCCUCAGAUCUAAAUAUUGCUCGGAAUGCCCUAAAAGAUGAGGAAAAGUCAGCCGAAGUGGACUUGGAGUCUACAGUGACAGACAAGUUCAUUUCAAACAGAU